Molecule: ribosomal RNA, 787 nt
Filed under: uncultured Psychrobacter sp.
Lineage: Bacteria; Pseudomonadati; Pseudomonadota; Gammaproteobacteria; Moraxellales; Moraxellaceae
Description: bacterial SSU rRNA
Rfam family: Bacterial small subunit ribosomal RNA
Source: RNAcentral
GAAGAUGACGAGCGGCGGACGGGUGAGUAAUACUUAGGAAUCUACCUAGUAGUGGGGGAUAGCUCGGGGAAACUCGAAUUAAUACCGCAUACGACCUACGGGAGAAAGGGGGCAGUUUACUGCUCUCGCUAUUAGAUGAGCCUAAGUCGGAUUAGCUAGAUGGUGGGGUAAAGGCCUACCAUGGCGACGAUCUGUAGCUGGUCUGAGAGGAUGAUCAGCCACACCGGGACUGAGACACGGCCCGGACUCCUACGGGAGGCAGCAGUGGGGAAUAUUGGACAAUGGGGGAAACCCUGAUCCAGCCAUGCCGCGUGUGUGAAGAAGGCCUUUUGGUUGUAAAGCACUUUAAGCAGUGAAGAAGACUCCGUGGUUAAUACCCACGGACGAUGACAUUAGCUGCAGAAUAAGCACCGGCUAACUCUGUGCCAGCAGCCGCGGUAAUACAGAGGGUGCAAGCGUUAAUCGGAAUUACUGGGCGUAAAGGGAGCGUAGGUGGCUCGAUAAGUCAGAUGUGAAAUCCCCGGGCUCAACCUGGGAACUGCAUCUGAAACUGUUGAGCUAGAGUAUGUGAGAGGAAGGUAGAAUUCCAGGUGUAGCGGUGAAAUGCGUAGAGAUCUGGAGGAAUACCGAUGGCGAAGGCAGCCUUCUGGCAUAAUACUGACACUGAGGCUCGAAAGCGUGGGUAGCAAACAGGAUUAGAUACCCUGGUAGUCCACGCCGUAAACGAUGUCUACUAGUCGUUGGGUCCCUUGAGGACUUAGUGACGCAGCUAACGCAAUAAGUAGAC